RNAcentral lists this transfer RNA (86 nucleotides) under Lacrimispora saccharolytica. RNAcentral describes it as "tRNA-Ser". It matches the Rfam family "tRNA". From Rfam's summary of the family: Transfer RNA (tRNA) molecules are approximately 80 nucleotides in length. Their secondary structure includes four short double-helical elements and three loops (D, anti-codon, and T loops). RNAcentral also lists the same sequence under 9 other names. Lineage: Bacteria; Bacillati; Bacillota; Clostridia; Lachnospirales; Lachnospiraceae. The record is from RNAcentral.
GGAGAGUUGUCCGAGUGGUUUAAGGUGCGGCUCUCGAAAAGCCGUGUGGCUAAUACCCACCGAGGGUUCGAAUCCCUUGCUCUCCG